Molecule: ribosomal RNA, 803 nt
Filed under: uncultured bacterium
Lineage: Bacteria
Description: SSU rRNA
Rfam family: Bacterial small subunit ribosomal RNA
Source: RNAcentral
GGAGAAAGUACUUGUACUUUUUCUAACCUAGCGGCGAACGGGUGAGUAACACGUGGGAAACCUACCUCUAAGACUGGGAUAACAUUCGGAAACGGAUGCUAAUACCGGAUAACAACUUUAACCGCAUGGUUGAAGUGUGAAAGGCGGAGCAAUCUGUCACUUAGAGAUGGUCCCGCGGCGCAUUAGCUAGUUGGUAAGGUAACGGCUUACCAAGGCGACGAUGCGUAGCCGACCUGAGAGGGUGAUCGGCCACAUUGGGACUGAGACACGGCCCAAACUCCUACGGGAGGCAGCAGUAGGGAAUCUUCCGCAAUGGACGAAAGUCUGACGGAGCAACGCCGCGUGAGUGAAGAAGGUUUUCGGAUCGUAAAGCUCUGUUGUUAGGGAAGAAUAGUGGUAAGAGUAACUGCUUACCAUGUGACGGUACCUAACCAGAAAGCCACGGCUAACUACGUGCCAGCAGCCGCGGUAAUACGUAGGUGGCAAGCGUUGUCCGGAAUUAUUGGGCGUAAAGCGCGCGCAGGCGGUCUUUUAAGUCUGAUGUGAAAGCCCCCGGCUCAACCGGGGAGGGUCAUUGGAAACUGGAAGACUUGAGUGCGAGAGAGAAGAGUGGAAUUCCAUGUGUAGCGGUGAAAUGCGUAGAGAUAUGGAGGAACACCAGUGGCGAAAGCGGCUCUUUGGCUCGCAACUGACGCUGAGGCGCGAAAGCGUGGGGAGCAAACAGGAUUAGAUACCCCGGUAGUCCACGCCGUAAACGAUGAGUGCUAAGUGUUGGAGGGUUUCCGCCCUUCAGUGCUGCAGCU